This 492-nucleotide ribosomal RNA is filed under the name uncultured bacterium. Its description in RNAcentral is "partial 16S ribosomal RNA". It matches the Rfam family "Bacterial small subunit ribosomal RNA", at positions 29 to 507 of the family's 1533-position model. The record is from RNAcentral.
AGUGAACGCUGGCGGUAGGCCUAACACACGCAAGUCGAACGGCAGCACAGUAAGAUCUUGCUCUUACGGGUGGCGAGUGGCGGACGGGUGAGGAAUACAUCGGAAUCUACUUUUUCGUGGGGGAUAACGUAGGGAAACUUACGCUAAUACCGCAUACGACCUACGGGUGAAAGCAGUGGAUCUUCGGACCUUUCGCGAUUGAAUGAGCCGAUGUCGGAUUAGCUAGUUGGCGGGGUAAAGGCCCACCAAGGCGACGAUCCGUAGCUGGUCUGAGAGGAUGAUCAGCCACACUGGAACUGAGACACGGUCCAGACUCCUACGGGAGGCAGCAGUGGGGAAUAUUGGACAAUGGGCGCAAGCCUGAUCCAGCAAUACCGCGUGGGUGAAGAAGGCCUUCGGGUUGUAAAGCCCUUUUGUUGGGAAAGAAAAGCAGCAGGUUAAUACCCCGCUGUUCUGACGGUACCCAAAGAAUAAGCACCGGCUAACUUCGUG